GGGGUUAAGUGUUAUUUAUUUUGGUUUUGUUUUGUGUUUAUUUUCAUAAAAAAUUAGUAAGUUUUGGUUAUUAGUAUGUUAAAGAAUUUUGUUUAAGGAUAAUAGUUAAUAAGUACAGUAAUGGGAGCAUUGAAAUUUGGGAGAAGUAGUGUUGGAUACUCGUACCUUUUGUAUCAGGGAUUAACUAUUUUAGCAUGUUAGUUGUGAAAUCCCGAAAUAAGAAGAGCUAGGAUUUUAUUACUUUUCUUCGUUGCAGAGAGGUUUGCAAGGUAUUCUUAGUGGUGAUAUGUUAGUCGAUUUUUGUAUAUCUGGUUCCUUAUUAAAUAAAUUUAAUUUUACACCUGGUUUAAACUUAAUUUGGUAGUAAGGGUAGGAGGAAUGAGCUUCUUAUCUUUUAUUUUAUCGAACAUUUAGUUGUGUGACUCGUUUUAGGUGGGCUUUAAGUCAGCCAUCUUAAUAUAACGUUAAAGUAAUGUCGAAUUGUUGUUUAUUUUUUUAAAAUGUUUGUUACUGUCUAGUAGGGAAUUUUAUCUAUUGUUUAAAUAAAAGAUAAAGUGUUUGUAUAAGUAUAAUUAAAGUUUGUUUUUAUGUUUAAGUGAAAUUAAGUAUUUAGUGGACGAGAGGUGCAUGGAAGGAAUUCGGCAAAUACUACCUCCGCCUGUUUAUCAAAAACAUGUCUGUGUGAAUUAGUUAUAAAGUCUAGCCUGCCCACUGAUUGUUUAAAGGGCCGCGGUAAUUUGACCGUGCGAAGGUAGCAUAGUCAGUAGUCUUUUAAUUGAAGGCUUGAAUGAAGGGUUGGACGAGGGGUAAGCUGUCUCCUUUGCAGUGUUUGAAUUUAACUUUUGAGUGAAAAGGCUUAAAUUAUUUAGUGGGACGAUAAGACCCUAUAAAACUUAAUAUAGGUUUAGCUUGAUUUGCAAUUAUGGGUGAAAAGUGGUUUUGUCUAGGCUUAUAUUUUGUUGGGGAGAUGUAGAUAUAAUGUGUAACUGUCUGUUGAAUUUAAUAGUUAUGAUUAGUGUGUGAUCCUUCAUUUGUGGAUUAAGAGAAUAAGUUACUUUAGGGAUAACAGCGUAAUUUUCUUUGAGAGUUCUUAUCGACAAGAGUAGUUGCGACCUCGAUGUUGAAUUAAAGUUUCAGCUAGGUGUAGCCGUUUAGCUGGUAGGUCUGUUCGACCUUUAAAAUUUUACAUGAUUUGAGUUCAAACCGGUGUGAGCCAGGUUGGUUUCUAUCUUUUAUAUGUUAAUGAGUGGUCUUAGUACGAAAGGAUUAGGCUUCUGGGAUAGUUCCUUUUUGAGAUGGUCUUUAAAUGA
This 1310-nucleotide ribosomal RNA is filed under the name Macrobrachium hirsutimanus. RNAcentral describes it as "16S ribosomal RNA". The stretch from base 595 to 1310 matches the Rfam family "Archaeal large subunit ribosomal RNA", at positions 1423 to 2802 of the family's 2987-position model. Lineage: Eukaryota; Metazoa; Arthropoda; Malacostraca; Decapoda; Palaemonidae. The record is from RNAcentral.